GGCCGGUUGGUCUAGUGGCAAGAUGUCCGCACCACAUGUUGUAUAGUAGUGUAUAGGAUGUGUGCGCGGAAGACGAGGGUUCAAUUCCCUCACCGGCUA
Molecule: transfer RNA, 99 nt
Organism: Coniosporium apollinis CBS 100218
Lineage: Eukaryota; Fungi; Ascomycota; Dothideomycetes
Rfam family: tRNA
About the family: Transfer RNA (tRNA) molecules are approximately 80 nucleotides in length. Their secondary structure includes four short double-helical elements and three loops (D, anti-codon, and T loops). Further hydrogen bonds mediate the characteristic L-shaped molecular structure. tRNAs have two regions of fundamental functional importance: the anti-codon, which is responsible for specific mRNA codon recognition, and the 3' end, to which the tRNAs corresponding amino acid is attached (by aminoacyl-tRNA synthetases). tRNAs cope with the degeneracy of the genetic code in two manners: having more than one tRNA (with a specific anti-codon) for a particular amino acid; and 'wobble' base-pairing, i.e. permitting non-standard base-pairing at the 3rd anti-codon position.
Source: Rfam